GACGAACGCUGGCGGCGUGCCUAAUACAUGCAAGUCGAACGCUUCUUUCCUCCCGAGUGCUUGCACUCAAUUGGAAAGAGGAGUGGCGGACGGGUGAGUAACACGUGGGUAACCUACCCAUCAGAGGGGGAUAACACUUGGAAACAGGUGCUAAUACCGCAUAACAGUUUAUGCCGCAUGGCAUAAGAGUGAAAGGCGCUUUCGGGUGUCGCUGAUGGUUGGACCCGCGGUGCAUUAGCUAGUUGGUGAGGUAACGGCUCACCAAGGCCACGAUGCAUAGCCGACCUGAGAGGGUGAUCGGCCACACUGGGACUGAGACACGGCCCAGACUCCUACGGGAGGCAGCAGUAGGGAAUCUUCGGCAAUGGACGAAAGUCUGACCGAGCAACGCCGCGUGAGUGAAGAAGGUUUUCGGAUCGUAAAACUCUGUUGUUAGAGAAGAACAAGGACGUUAGUAACUGAACGUCCCCUGACGGUACCUAAACAGAAAGCCACGGCUAACUACGUG
RNAcentral lists this ribosomal RNA (508 nucleotides) under uncultured bacterium. RNAcentral describes it as "partial 16S ribosomal RNA". It matches the Rfam family "Bacterial small subunit ribosomal RNA", at positions 28 to 507 of the family's 1533-position model. The record is from RNAcentral.